Molecule: ribosomal RNA, 278 nt
Filed under: Pteridomonas danica
Lineage: Eukaryota; Dictyochophyceae; Pedinellales
Description: partial Bacterial large subunit ribosomal RNA
Rfam family: Bacterial large subunit ribosomal RNA
Source: RNAcentral
UGACCGAUAGUGAACCAGUACCGUGAGGGAAAGGUGAAAAGAACCCUGAACAAGGGAGUGAAAAAGAUCCUGAAACCGUGUGUCUACAAGCGGUCGAAGCCUACGGGCGACGGCGUGCCUUUUGCAUAAUGAUCCUACGAGUUACUCCUCAUUGGCAAGGUUAAGUCUUUAAGGGACGAAUCCGAAGCGAAAGCGAGUCUGAAUAGGGCGACUGAGUAUGAUGGAUUAGACCCGAACCCCGGCGAUCUAGGCAUGGCCAGGUUGAAGGUGCGGUAAAA